Molecule: ribosomal RNA, 467 nt
Filed under: uncultured bacterium
Lineage: Bacteria
Description: partial 16S ribosomal RNA
Rfam family: Bacterial small subunit ribosomal RNA
Source: RNAcentral
GACGAACGCUGGCGGCGUGCUUAACACAUGCAAGUCGAACGAUGACGCCCGAGCUUGCUCGGUCUGAUUAGUGGCGAACGGGUGAGUAACACGUGAGCAACCUGCCCUUCACUCUGGGAUAACCUCGGGAAAUCGGGGCUAAUACCGGAUAUGAGCUCCUGUCGCAUGGCGGGUGUUGGAAAGUUUUUCGGUGAAGGAUGGGCGCGCGGCCUAUCAGUUUGUUGGUGAGGUAGUGGCUCACCAAGGCGAUGACGGGUAGCCGGCCUGAGAGGGCGACCGGCCACACUGGGACUGAGACACGGCCCAGACUCCUACGGGAGGCAGCAGUGGGGAAUAUUGCACAAUGGGCGAAAGCCUGAUGCAGCGACGCCGCGUGAGGGAUGACGGCCUUCGGGUUGUAAACCUCUUUCAGCAGGGAAGAAGCGAAAGUGACGGUACCUGCAGAAGAAGCGCCGGCUAACUACGUG